AUUGAACGCUGGCGGAAUGCUUUACACAUGCAAGUCGAACGGCAGCACGGGGGCAGCCCUGGUGGCGAGUGGCGAACGGGUGAGUAAUACAUCGGAACGUGCCCGGUCGUGGGGGAUAACGUAGCGAAAGUUACGCUAAUACCGCAUACGAUCUGAGGAUGAAAGCGGGGGACCUUCUGGCCUCGCGCGAUCGGAGCGGCCGAUGUCAGAUUAGGUAGUUGGUGGGGUAAAGGCCUACCAAGCCGACGAUCUGUAGCUGGUCUGAGAGGACGACCAGCCACACUGGGACUGAGACACGGCCCAGACUCCUACGGGAGGCAGCAGUGGGGAAUUUUGGACAAUGGGCGCAAGCCUGAUCCAGCCAUUCCGCGUGCAGGACGAAGGCCUUCGGGUUGUAAACUGCUUUUGUACGGAACGAAAAGGCUCUGGCUAAUACCUGGGGCUCAUGACGGUACCGUAAGAAUAAGCACCGGCUAACUACGUG
Molecule: ribosomal RNA, 484 nt
Filed under: uncultured bacterium
Lineage: Bacteria
Description: partial 16S ribosomal RNA
Rfam family: Bacterial small subunit ribosomal RNA
Source: RNAcentral